CUAGGGAACUCGGCAAAUUGGCCCCGUAACUUCGGGAGAAGGGGUGCCUGCGGUCCUGGUCUGAUGGCUGGGACCGUAGGUCGCAGUGACAAGGGGGAUCCGACUGUUUAAUAAAAACACAGGUCCCCGCAAGCCCGAAAGGGUGUGUACGGGGGCUGAAUCCUGGCCACUGGCGGUACGUGAAACCCGGGUACAACCGGGCGAAGCGCCGCUAAAGGCCGGGAGUAACUCUGACUCUCUUAAGGUAGCCAAAUGCCUUGCCGGGUAAGUUCCGGCGUGCAUGAAUGGAUCAACGAGGUCCCCACUGUCCCAGCCCGGGACCCGGCGAACCCGCAACCAGGUGCACAGUCCUGGUACCCCCGGUGGGGCGAGAAGACCCCGUGGAGCUUUACCGCAGCCAGUCGUUGGGGUAUGGUCGUGGGUGCGUAGUGUAAGCGGGAGCAAUGAAACAGCUCUUCCGGGAGCUGUGGAUGCGCCAAUGAAACACCGCUCACUCGCGACUGUAUCCCUUACCCGGCGGAUGCCGGGGACAGCGACUGGUGGGCGGUUUGGCUGGGGCGGCACCCCUCUGAAAACGCAUCAGAGGGGCCCUAAGCUCGGCUCAGGCGGGUCAGAACCCCGCCGUAGAGGGCAAGGCCAAAAGCCGGGCUGACUGCGCCCUUGAACGCAAGGGGCGCAGGGGGGAAACCCGGGCCUAGCGAACGCUCGUGUCCCCCUUGGUGGGGGCCGGGCAUGACAGAAAAGUUACCCCGGGAAUAACCGGCUUGUCGCGGGCAAGAGUUCACAUCGACCCCGCGGUUUGGUACCCAGACGUCGUCUCUCCCUAUCCUGGCCGUGCAGCAGCGGCCAAGGGUGGGGCUGCUCGCCCAUUAAAAGGGAACGUGAGAUGGGUUUAGACCGUCGCGAGACAGGUCGGACUCUACCUGCCGGGGGCGCUGGCCGCCUGAGGGGAAGGUCCGCCUAGUACGAGAGGAACGGCGGGCCGCGGCCUCUAGUCUACCGGUUGUCCGGCAGGGCAGCGCCGGGCAGCCACGCCGUAAGGGAUAAGGGCUGAAGGCAUCUAAGCCCGAAGCCCUCCCCGAGACGAGGCGGCCAUUCCCGGUCCGUUGGGGGUCGG
This 1117-nucleotide ribosomal RNA is filed under the name Thermoprotei archaeon. RNAcentral describes it as "bacterial LSU rRNA". It matches the Rfam family "Archaeal large subunit ribosomal RNA", at positions 1802 to 2987 of the family's 2987-position model. The record is from RNAcentral. Lineage: Archaea; Thermoproteati; Thermoproteota; Thermoprotei.